RNAcentral lists this ribosomal RNA (1260 nucleotides) under Salmonella enterica subsp. enterica serovar Enteritidis. RNAcentral's name for it is "partial 23S ribosomal RNA". It matches the Rfam family "Bacterial large subunit ribosomal RNA", at positions 133 to 1395 of the family's 2925-position model. The record is from RNAcentral. Lineage: Bacteria; Pseudomonadati; Pseudomonadota; Gammaproteobacteria; Enterobacterales; Enterobacteriaceae.
AUGAGUUAUGUCAUGUUAUCGACAUGUGAAUUCAUAGCAUGUCAGAAGGCAGACCCGGAGAACUGAAACAUCUUAGUACCCGGAGGAAGAGAAAGAAAAAUCGAUUCCCUGAGUAGCGGCGAGCGAAACGGGAAAAGCCCAAACCAACAAGCUUGCUUGUUGGGGUUGUAGGACACUCUAUACGGAGUUACAAAAGAACAUGUUAGACGAAUCAUCUGGAAAGAUGAAUCAAAGAAGGUAAUAAUCCUGUAGUCGAAAACAUAUUCUCUCUUGAGUGGAUCCUGAGUACGACGGAGCACGUGAAAUUCCGUCGGAAUCUGGGAGGACCAUCUCCUAAGGCUAAAUACUCUCUAGUGACCGAUAGUGAACCAGUACCGUGAGGGAAAGGUGAAAAGUACCCCGGAAGGGGAGUGAAAGAGAACUUGAAACCGUGUGCUUACAAGUAGUCAGAGCCCGUUAAUGGGUGAUGGCGUGCCUUUUGUAGAAUGAACCGGCGAGUUACGAUCUGAUGCAAGGUUAAGCAGCAAAUGUGGAGCCGCAGCGAAAGCGAGUCUGAAUAGGGCGUUGAGUAUUUGGUCGUAGACCCGAAACCAGGUGAUCUACCCUUGGUCAGGUUGAAGUUCAGGUAACACUGAAUGGAGGACCGAACCGACUUACGUUGAAAAGUGAGCGGAUGAACUGAGGGUAGCGGAGAAAUUCCAAUCGAACUUGGAGAUAGCUGGUUCUCUCCGAAAUAGCUUUAGGGCUAGCCUCAAGUGAUGAUUAUUGGAGGUAGAGCACUGUUUGGACGAGGGGCCCCUCUCGGGUUACCGAAUUCAGACAAACUCCGAAUGCCAAUUAAUUUAACUUGGGAGUCAGAACAUGGGUGAUAAGGUCCGUGUUCGAAAGGGAAACAGCCCAGACCACCAGCUAAGGUCCCAAAAUAUAUGUUAAGUGGAAAAGGAUGUGGCGUUGCCCAGACAACUAGGAUGUUGGCUUAGAAGCAGCCAUCAUUUAAAGAGUGCGUAAUAGCUCACUAGUCGAGUGACACUGCGCCGAAAAUGUACCGGGGCUAAACAUAUUACCGAAGCUGUGGAUUGUCCUUUGGACAAUGGUAGGAGAGCGUUCUAAGGGCGUCGAAGCAUGAUCGCAAGGACAUGUGGAGCGCUUAGAAGUGAGAAUGCCGGUGUGAGUAGCGAAAGACGGGUGAGAAUCCCGUCCACCGAUUGACUAAGGUUUCCAGAGGAAGGCUCGUCCGCUCUGGGUUAGUCGGGUCCUAAG